GACGAACGCUGGCGGCGUGCUUAACACAUGCAAGUCGAACGGAAAGGCCCUGCUUGCAGGGUGCUCGAGUGGCGAACGGGUGAGUAACACGUGGGUGAUCUGCCCUGCACUUCGGGAUAAGCCUGGGAAACUGGGUCUAAUACCGGAUAGGAGCCAUUUUUAGUGUGAUGGUUGGAAAGUUUUUUCGGUGUAGGAUGAGCUCGCGGCCUAUCAGCUUGUUGGUGGGGUAAUGGCCUACCAAGGCGGCGACGGUAGCCGGCCUGAGAGGGUGGACGGCCACAUUGGGACUGAGAUACGGCCCAGACUCCUACGGGAGGCAGCAGUGGGGAAUAUUGCACAAUGGGCGCAAGCCUGAUGCAGCGACGCCGCGUGGGGGAUGA
RNAcentral lists this ribosomal RNA (380 nucleotides) under uncultured bacterium. RNAcentral describes it as "bacterial SSU rRNA". It matches the Rfam family "Bacterial small subunit ribosomal RNA", at positions 28 to 411 of the family's 1533-position model. The record is from RNAcentral.